This 1152-nucleotide ribosomal RNA is filed under the name Triticum aestivum (bread wheat). Its description in RNAcentral is "partial small subunit ribosomal RNA". Lineage: Eukaryota; Viridiplantae; Streptophyta; Magnoliopsida; Poales; Poaceae. The record is from RNAcentral.
UUCAGGCAACUUAAUCAGGUGUGCCCACUGGAGAAUCUGCGGCAUGUUAAUCGGGUGCGUCGCCUUAUUGAGUGUGGUAAAAAAUCCGAGUUAUCGAUCAUCUUAUGCCUUUCCACUGGGAUUGAAAGUUCUAAGAAUGGGUUUUCUGAGGAUGUGCAGAAGGUAGUGGAGGCUUACCAGUUGAGCCCUUUCAUUGCAAAAGUUGCCAGCUAUCCUGCUAUGUCGAAAGAGGAAUGGGAGGAACAGUGCAAACUCUGGCCAACUUCAUAUCAUCCCCUGCAUGACACUGGUGGUGCAUCUGGAUUUAAAGAGGAGGAAUUACCAUCAAUAUUUGAUUGCAUGAGGACUGCUAUCGAAUUAUCAGAGGUGGGCAACACGGCCAUUAUUGUUGAUCCAUCAAGUAUGCAAAUAAUUUCAAAGGCUACAGAUGAAACACACCAGCAUGACGGCUUUCUGGAAAGGAACAGAUGUGUCAAUGUGGAAGCAGAUGGUGCCCACUCUUUGGCUGAAACAACUGAAGAUAAUGAUGGCAGGCUGUUGCUGUCAAGCUCCCAUGCUAGCCAUUGCUUGAACUUGGAGGUCUCAUGUAUAAACUCUUGGGGAUGGACAAAACAGAGGUCUUCUGAGCAGAAGACAUUGUCCUCUGAAGGUGGUUUUCUUUGGCAUCCUCUAAGACAUGCUGCCCUAGUUGCCAUUGAAAAUGCUGCCGAGAGAGAUCAAAAGCUGUUCCAUACUUCAACUUCUCCAAGAACGGAAUCAAACUUAAAUGGCGAUAUGGAGAAUUGUUCCGACAAUGAACCAGCAAAGCGGCCAAAGAUAGUUACAAAGGAUAAAGAAAAGGCUGAGCAUCAAGAAUGCGGGAGUGACUUGUCUGGAAGAAACAGACCAUAUCUCUGCACAGGAUUUGACAUCUACCUUGUUUAGGAACCCUGCACAAUGUGUGCUAUGGCACUUGUACAUCAAAGAUUCAAGCGUGUCUUCUACGCUUUCCCUAAUCCAAUCACUGGAGCGCUGGGCAGUGUCUACAGAUUGCAUGGGGAGAAAAGUUUAAAUCACCAUUACUCUGUGUUUAGAGUAAAAAUGCCAGAGCCAGAUUUGAAUGUUUCAAGUGAUUACCCUGAAAAAGGCUGCUCAGAUUUUGUACCAUCCUAG